RNAcentral lists this ribosomal RNA (556 nucleotides) under uncultured bacterium. Its description in RNAcentral is "partial 16S ribosomal RNA". It matches the Rfam family "Bacterial small subunit ribosomal RNA", at positions 355 to 922 of the family's 1533-position model. The record is from RNAcentral.
UGGGGAAUAUUGCACAAUGGGCGAAAGCCUGAUGCAGCAACGCCGCGUGCGGGAUGACGGCCUUCGGGUUGUAAACCGCUUUCAGCAGGGACGAAGGGUUUCUGACGGUACCUGCAGAAGAAGCACCGGCUAACUACGUGCCAGCAGCCGCGGUGAUACGUAGGGUGCGAGCGUUGUCCGGAAUUAUUGGGCGUAAAGAGCUCGUAGGUGGUUUGUUGCGUCGGAAGUGAAAACUCAGGGCUUAACCCUGAGCCUGCUUUCGAUACGGGCAGACUAGAGGAAGGUAGGGGAGAACGGAAUUCCUGGUGGAGCGGUGGAAUGCGCAGAUAUCAGGAGGAACACCGGUGGCGAAGGCGGUUCUCUGGACCUUUCCUGACGCUGAGGAGCGAAAGCGUGGGGAGCAAACAGGCUUAGAUACCCUGGUAGUCCACGCCGUAAACGGUGGGCACUAGGUGUGGGGGACAUUCCACGUUCUCCGUGCCGUAGCUAACGCAUUAAGUGCCCCGCCUGGGGAGUACGCCGCAAGGCUAAAACUCAAAGGAAUUGACGGGGUCAU